RNAcentral lists this ribosomal RNA (465 nucleotides) under Vreelandella stevensii. Its description in RNAcentral is "partial 16S ribosomal RNA". It matches the Rfam family "Bacterial small subunit ribosomal RNA", at positions 338 to 795 of the family's 1533-position model. Lineage: Bacteria; Pseudomonadati; Pseudomonadota; Gammaproteobacteria; Oceanospirillales; Halomonadaceae. The record is from RNAcentral.
CCUACGGGAGGCAGCAGUGGGGAAUAUUGGACAAUGGGGGCAACCCUGAUCCAGCCAUGCCGCGUGUGUGAAGAAGGCCCUCGGGUUGUAAAGCACUUUCAGUGAGGAAGAACGCCUAGUGGUUAAUACCCAUCAGGAAAGACAUCACUCACAGAAGAAGCACCGGCUAACUCCGUGCCAGCAGCCGCGGUAAUACGGAGGGUGCGAGCGUUAAUCGGAAUUACUGGGCGUAAAGCGCGCGUAGGUGGCUUGAUAAGCCGGUUGUGAAAGCCCCGGGCUCAACCUGGGAACGGCAUCCGGAACUGUCAAGCUAGAGUGCAGGAGAGGAAGGUAGAAUUCCCGGUGUAGCGGUGAAAUGCGUAGAGAUCGGGAGGAAUACCAGUGGCGAAGGCGGCCUUCUGGACUGACACUGACACUGAGGUGCGAAAGCGUGGGUAGCAAACAGGAUUAGAUACCCUUGUAGUC